This 65-nucleotide transfer RNA is filed under the name Lasioglossum malachurum. RNAcentral describes it as "tRNA-Glu". The record is from RNAcentral. Lineage: Eukaryota; Metazoa; Arthropoda; Insecta; Hymenoptera; Halictidae.
AUUUAUAUAGUUUAAAUAAAACAUUAUAUUUUCAAUAUAAAAUUAAUUUUAUUAAUUUAUAAAUU